UCUAAUUUCAAUAAUUGAGUAUUUAUUACUAAAAAAAAAUUUGGGGUUUUCACACUAUAAAGUGAUCAUACAAUUUUCAAAUUUUACACACACAAACAAAGCAAAUUAUGGCUAAAACUCUCAGGUUUUUUCAAAUCAUGUUUGCUUUUCUUUUUAUAUUUACCAUUGUAAUCGAAGGCCUCCCUGAAUAUAAUCACUUUCAUAAGUGUUAUAAUGAUAAUGAUUGCCCUAAAACUAUGUGUAUACCUCCCAAAGUUCCAAAGUGCAUAAGGAAGUGUUGUCGAUGUAUUUGAGAAUUGAAUAUCAUCUUCUACAGUUAUAAAAAUGGCUGCCAUUAAAAAAAAAAUUUAUAAAAAUGGCUAUUAAUUAGUGCUACCGUUGAUAAUAAUUUUGCCUUCUCCACUAUUUGUGGUAAAUUGUAAUAAUGAUAAUACCAUUUCGAUUAGUUAAUAAUGAAAAAGUAAAGCCAAACAAUCCCUUUUGUUUUGGCGUCUAGUUAAUAAUGAGAAUACUAAUUUGUGUAUUUUCAUGUUACCGUAAAAUAAAAAUUAUAAUUUACAUGCA
Molecule: long non-coding RNA, 564 nt
Organism: Trifolium pratense (red clover)
Lineage: Eukaryota; Viridiplantae; Streptophyta; Magnoliopsida; Fabales; Fabaceae
Exons: 2
Source: RefSeq, a predicted model, not a curated record